UGGGGAAUAUUGGGCAAUGGGGGCAACCCUGACCCAGCAACGCCGCGUGAGGGAAGAAGGUUUUCGGAUUGUAAACCUCUGUCCUUGGGGACGAAGAAGUGACGGUACCCAAGGAGGAAGCUCCGGCUAACUACGUGCCAGCAGCCGCGGUAAUACGUAGGGAGCGAGCGUUGUCCGGAAUUACUGGGCGUAAAGGGUGCGUAGGCGGUUUGGUAAGUCAGAUGUGAAAUACCCGGGCUUAACCCGGGGGCUGCAUCUGAUACUGUCAGACUUGAGUGCAGGAGAGGAAAGCGGAAUUCCUAGUGUAGCGGUGAAAUGCGUAGAUAUUAGGAGGAACACCAGUGGCGAAGGCGGCUUUCUGGACUGUAACUGACGCUGAGGCACGAAAGCGUGGGGAGCAAACAGGAUUAGAUACCCUGGUAGUCCACGCCGUAAACGAUGGAUACUAGGUGUAGGCAUCAUAAGAUGUCUGUGCCGCAGCAAACGCAUUAAGUAUCCCGCCUGGGGAGUACGACCGCAAGGUUGAAACUCAAAGGAAUUGACGGGGGCCCGCACAAGCAGCGGAGCAUGUGGUUUAAUUCGAAGCAACGCGAAGAACCUUACCAAGGCUUGACAUCCUCUGACCGCCAUAGAGAUAUGGCUUCCCUUCGGGGCAGAGGGACAGGUGGUGCAUGGUUGUCGUCAGCUCGUGUCGUGAGAUGUUGGGUUAAGUCCCGCAACGAGCGCAACCCCUGCCAUUAGUUGCUACGCAAGAGCACUCUAAUGGGACCGCUACCGACAAGGUGGAGGAAGGUGGGGACGACGUCAAAUCAUCAUGCCCCUUAUGACCUGGGCCACACACGUACUACAAUGGCUGUAAACAGAGGGAAGCAAAACCGCGAGGCAGAGCAAACCCCUAAAAAUGGUCCCAGUUCGGAUUGUGGGCUGCAACCCGCCUACAUGAAGUUGGAAUUGCUAGUAAUCGCGGAUCAGCAUGCCGCGGUGAAUACGUUCCC
RNAcentral lists this ribosomal RNA (995 nucleotides) under uncultured bacterium. RNAcentral's name for it is "bacterial SSU rRNA". It matches the Rfam family "Bacterial small subunit ribosomal RNA", at positions 355 to 1375 of the family's 1533-position model. The record is from RNAcentral.